AAAAUGUGUGGAGAGUUAUUUAAGGACCUGUGGUUAACUCAGUCCUCAAGAUGUUCCGGGUUUCAUCCAUGAGUCAAGGAGGACCUCCCAAAAGCUGUUUGGGACCACACUCUUUGAGCAAGGAGCAUACCUUAUGAUGGAAGCUGUGCUUUAGCAGCAGAUGACCAUUUCCACUGCACAACACGCCGUGCUUUAGCAGACGAUGACCAUUUCCACUGUACAACAUGCUGUGCUUUAGCGUCAGAUGACCAUUUCCACUGCACAACACGCCAUGCUUUAGCGGAAGAUGACCAUUUCCACUGCACAACACGUCAUGCCUUAGCGGAAGAUGACUGUUUCCACUGCACAACACUACAAGUGCUUACUGCCAGACCGGUGUGAAAUAUGUUCCAGCACAUAAUCUAUGUCACCAAUGAAGGUGGUGGUUAAGACUUGGUGCACACAAGCUUUCCUGUCCCACAAGAAUACAGCGUGCUCUCUUUUCGGGUUCCAUUCCAAUCACGUAACAAACAUGACUGCCUUUUUUGUUUCGGCAUCAGAAAGAUCAGAGGAAACUUUGCACUCAACUUAGACAACUCUAAGCUUUUAUAACCUGUCUAUAUCUACAGGUCAGCUUUAUCUUAUUUAUGUAUAUUUCCUUCAACCUGAGUUUUACUUAUUUCCACUUUUCCUUUUUAAUUCACAGACACCCAUAAACUCAGAAAAUACAGUGUAAAACAAAGUGAAGAACAAAUAAACAACUCACCAGAGAUUUAUUCGUUUCUUGUUGCUCUUGGAAACACCCAGAGGACACUGGAAACAUAGCCACUCCUGUGCCUCUGGAACCCGCUUCACUGCUGGGACCCCACGUCUGUCCUCCCAGCCCCCGCCAGGGUCCACGGCCCGCAAAUGCACGUCAGGCCCCUCCUGCCCGCGAUGCGCCCACGCGUCUGCCCCCACAAAUGGGGAACACUGGUCUGGCCCCCCGGGAUCCCCCGAGGCCCACAGGUUCCUCCUCGCCCUCGCACCUACCCACAGGGACAUAGAACCAAGCCCCAGGCCUGCUCAGCUACACGACCACCGCUGGGAUCCGCACUUCCGGAGGAAAAUGGCGAAGUGGGCGGGGUGGCACAUGCGUAGAGAGAACCUGGUUCCCAAGGUCCUUGAUGGUAAACAU
RNAcentral lists this long non-coding RNA (1156 nucleotides) under Homo sapiens (human). Its description in RNAcentral is "long non-coding RNA NONHSAT170457". The record is from RNAcentral. Lineage: Eukaryota; Metazoa; Chordata; Mammalia; Primates; Hominidae.